AAUGAACGCUGGCGGCAUGCCUUACACAUGCAAGUCGAACGGCAGCAUGACCUAUCUUGCUAGGUUGAUGGCGAGUGGCGAACGUGUGAGUAAUGCAUCGGAACGUGCCUUUUAGUGGGGGAUAACGUAGCGAAAGUUACGCUAAUACCGCAUAUUCUCUGAGGAGGAAAGCAGGGGACCUUCGGGCCUUGCGCAUGAAGAGCGGCCGUUGUCGGAUUAGCUAGUUGGUGAGGUAAAGGCUCACCACGGCGACGAUCCGUAGCGGGUGCGCGGGGAGGAUGCGCCACACUGGGACUGAGCCGCGGCCCUGGGACCUACGGGAGGCCGAGGUGGGGAAUGUUGGACAAUGGGCGCAAGCCUGAUCCAGCCGCGCCGGGUGGGUGAAGAAGGCCUUCGGGUUGUAAAGCUCUUUCGGCUGGGAAGAAAUCGCACCCUCUAAUACAGGGUGUGGAUGACGGUACCAGCAUAAGAAGCACCGGCUAACUACGUG
Molecule: ribosomal RNA, 490 nt
Filed under: uncultured bacterium
Lineage: Bacteria
Description: partial 16S ribosomal RNA
Rfam family: Bacterial small subunit ribosomal RNA
Source: RNAcentral